Molecule: non-coding RNA, 26 nt
Filed under: Mus musculus (house mouse)
Lineage: Eukaryota; Metazoa; Chordata; Mammalia; Rodentia; Muridae
Source: RNAcentral
UGGAAAUGAACAAAACCAUACUAGAC